UGUCUAAGUAUAAGCAAUUAUACAGCGAAACUGCGAAUGGCUCAUUAUAUAAGUUAUCGUUUAUUUGAUAGUACCUUACUACUUGGAUAACCGUGGUAAUUCUAGAGCUAAUACAUGCUAAAAAUCCCGACUUCGGAAGGGAUGUAUUUAUUAGAUUAAAAACCAAUGCCCUCCGGGGCUCACUGGUGAUUCAUGAUAACUCCUCGAAUCGCAUGGCCUUGUGCCGGCGAUGGUUCAUUCAAAUUUCUUCCCUAUCAACUUUCGAUGUUUGGGUAUUGGCCAAACAUGGUUGCAACGGGUAACGG
This 305-nucleotide ribosomal RNA is filed under the name uncultured Hypocreales. RNAcentral describes it as "SSU rRNA". It matches the Rfam family "Eukaryotic small subunit ribosomal RNA", at positions 56 to 365 of the family's 1831-position model. Lineage: Eukaryota; Fungi; Ascomycota; Sordariomycetes; Hypocreales. The record is from RNAcentral.